Labrus bergylta (ballan wrasse) is the source of this 2485-nucleotide non-coding RNA. The record is from RefSeq and is a predicted model, not a curated record. NCBI's taxonomy places the organism in Eukaryota, Metazoa, Chordata, Actinopteri, Labriformes, Labridae.
UUAUUUACACAAUAAAGGUAAAAUAACCCACCGUUAUCAAUAUCACCUAGCUAAUAAAAGAAAGGUCUAUUGUCAGUUUAAUCUACAUACUGUACCUGCAGGUCCUCAUGCUUGAUGUGUGAACUGCUGAUUUUCAUAAUUACAACACACAAGCUAUGCAACAGGAUAUACUCAGUAGUAUUGAGAUUAAUGUAGUUUAACACAUAAUAUUUAUAUCAUAGUCACUGUUAAUUAAACCAUAUUUGAACAGGUGCACCUGUGGAGAGUGCAGGAUGAUGCCCACAGAGAUGGAAAGUGUGUGCUGCAAGCAGCUUAACGCCGUUCAGAAUAAAUGUCUGGAGCCUCCAGAGGAGCCACACUGCAUGACUCUUCAUCCAGGCCUUGAGCCUGUCUGCCUGAACUCCUACUCCCUGCAGAAUGCUCUGAACAUUUAUCAGACAGACCACGGACCGCUGGAGAUGAAAGAGAGAGCUGUGUAAACUCUGUUAGUCCAGUUAUUGGUAAUGAGUUACCACCAAUCCUGGGAGCGUGGAUUGACCCAGAUUCUCCCUAUAAGAAAGGCUUGACUUAACUUGUGUUUCUAUUUUGCUCUUUCAUUGUUGCACUUUUAUAUGAUAUUUGUACAUUACCUAUUCCUAAUGCACUGUAGCUUGAUUGUACCUUAUUGUAAGUCGCUUUGGAUAGCAGCGUCAGCUAAAUUACUUAAAUGUUAUAGGACUAUGGCUAAGCCUAACUGGCUGUAUGCAGCAAUGUUAGCACGAAUAAAAACUGUUGAUCAACUCUAUGAAUUAACUUCACACCUGGUCGGCCUUCUGUUGGCAUGCCAUUAGAAGGAGAGCUCUCCUUCGCAGCCUUCUUGUAGCACGUCUUCGUCGUUGUAAAAUGAAAAGCAUUGCAUCAUAAAACCGAUGUUGUAUCAAAUUCUCUCACUGCUCAAAAUGUUCUGCAAAUGUUUGUAACUGUAUGAACCAAAUCAAUACCAGGACCUUUUUGUCCAAUGAUUGAACGAUCUUCACUCGCGGCUUUGUUUACAAAUUCAAAAGUGCAAUGUGAAAACGAACUGCACCAAACCAAAAAAGAAACAUUGUAUUUGUUCUGUAUCUAAGAAAGUAAACUGAAGGACUUUCCUGGUGUGAAUACACCCUGAUAUAACUCCAUAUAGAUCUCAUCAUCAGGAAUGAUUUGGCUAACGGAAAAGUUUUACCAUCUCACGAAAUAAUUGAAAAUCUGAUUCCUGACAAAUCUGUUUCUGACCCCGCUGUGAGUGACAUAACGUCUUCUACUCCGGGGGCAGAGAGGUUGUAGAGCCUGGUUGUUGAAGGAGGGGCUGCAGGUAACAGUUCAAUGGAGCGGUCACACGGCCUUUGAGGAGGUAAUGCUCUCUCUCCCUUAACCUGUUUUCAAUCUUGAUCGCUAGCCCUAAUAGCUCCCGCAGGUCUCUAGUUUGAGCUGUCCCCACUAAACAGUCCUUUACAGCUUCGUUCAACCCUUUAAAAAAAAAAAACUUUGCAGUGCUCUGUCGUCCAACCCUAACUCUGCGGCUCGCAUCCGAGUAAUAAGCUGCAUUAUAGGGGCCCUGACGCAGGCUAAGUAGCUGGUUGCUAGAGUCACAGCUGGUAAUUGGGUGGUCAAAAACAGAUGUCAUGUCAUGUCAUGUAAAAUGGUCAAAAGGAGCAUUAGCAGUGAGUAGGCUAUGCCAAAAAGUGAUUUCUCAAGACCUAGCCCUCCCUGUGAGCAGACCCAGUACAUAAGCUAUCCUUGAUCUAUCGCUAAACGAGGCCAAAGAGGCCGGGGGCUAAUUCAGACGAGGAGUCCAUUAUCCCACAGAGAGUCUGGCUUAAACUUUUAAACUCUGAUUAAAAGAAAAGAUUAGUAUUUCACACUUGCAGAAUCUGCAGAAUACCUUUGAGUCAUCUCCCACCUGAGGUCGGAUCCAGUCCUUCAAUGCACUCUCUUUCUCCCACUCUUUAUUAUAUCUUUUUCCAUAUUUUGUGAAGUCUUUGUAGAGAGAGCCUUGAUCACGAAACAAGCUUCACCUGGCGAAUGAAACCAUGCCCACCACACUCAGGGACACAGACAGGGGAGAGAAACGACACAAACAUGGAGGGCUGCCGUGAUGUGAAUCAUGACAAAUCUAACUGAAUAAUAUCUUUGCACAGACUCAUUUUAAAUGUUAACAGACACUGAUGUACCUUACUAUAAGAAUGAUGCUGUGCAGCUGUAAUGCUACAGGCUUGAUUGUAUACACGUUUAUAUUCUUAUUCCUGCAUGGGCUCAUUCUGUCAAAUGUAGCUCAUUGUGUCUUCCUUACAGUCAUCUUGUUGCCUGGCAACAUGUGAUGUCAUAAUUAUGUGUACCAUUCUUCAUCUUUCAUACUCACAGACUCACACACUGCACGCCUGACGUUUUCCUUUUGUAAAUCAAUCUGUGACUCUGCUCGCUUCAAAGGUGCUGUAUAAAUAAAGCUAUUAUUAUUAAUAACGUC